RNAcentral lists this ribosomal RNA (253 nucleotides) under uncultured bacterium. RNAcentral describes it as "partial 16S ribosomal RNA". It matches the Rfam family "Bacterial small subunit ribosomal RNA", at positions 524 to 776 of the family's 1533-position model. The record is from RNAcentral.
UACGUAGGGCGCAAGCGUUGUCCGGAAUCAUUGGGCGUAAAGCGCGUGUAGGCGGCUUUGCAAGUCGGGUGUGAAAGCCCUCAGCUCAACUGAGGAAGUGCGCCCGAAACUGCAGAGCUUGAAUACCGGAGAGGAUGGCGGAAUUCCCCAAGUAGAGGUGAAAUUCGUAGAUAUGGGGAGGAACACCGGUGGCGAAGGCGGCCAUCUGGACGGCUAUUGACGCUGAGACGCGAAAGCGUGGGGAGCAAACAGG